Molecule: long non-coding RNA, 578 nt
Organism: Tupaia belangeri chinensis (Chinese tree shrew)
Lineage: Eukaryota; Metazoa; Chordata; Mammalia; Scandentia; Tupaiidae
Exons: 2
Source: RefSeq, a predicted model, not a curated record
CCACUGUCUCCCUCUGGAUUAUCUCUAGAGUAGGAAAACAGCCAGGGCCCACCCCACGUCUUCCUAACUGCGAGAGCGCGGUAGGAUUUCCGUUUGUCCACAGGAAUGCAGGCCCGGGAGCCGACAGCGGAAAAAUGCAUAUUUAAUUACUUUUUACAAACUCUUUACGUUUGCUCAUUUCGGCUGAUAAUUUAUACUUUGUGCAGCUCUUAGCAUUUAGGCACAGUUUCUUUAGUAAAGAACAUCUCUAGGAGAUUCGUCCUUUUUUGAAAAAAUUGCAUCCCAUGGGAAGCCGCUCUCUGGUUCAGAAUGGGGCCUCAGACAACCACCGCCCCUACGAGACCUUUACCCGAGAGGCACAAGGGGGGAAACUGCGCAGUGUGAGGAAGAGAGCAAAGGCCUCUCUUGGUCCUCGGAAAUUCUUCAUACGCUGGCUUGGUUCUCACAACAGCACGGAGUGUAGGCAGAUGUAAAGGAGAUCAAGUUACCCUGAGUGACAGCCAUGACAGAACAAAACCACAAGACCAGACAGCAUUUAUGGAUAAAUAUAUUAGCAAAUAAAUACAUUUCUCAACAUA